Molecule: long non-coding RNA, 719 nt
Organism: Sebastes umbrosus (honeycomb rockfish)
Lineage: Eukaryota; Metazoa; Chordata; Actinopteri; Perciformes; Sebastidae
Exons: 2
Source: RefSeq, a predicted model, not a curated record
AGGCAGUGCGGGGGACAGCCCAACAUGUGGAGGCAGAGCGUUCCAGAGCGUUCCAGAGCGUUCCAGAGCGUUCCAGAGCGUUGGAGCUGCAACUGAAAAGGCUCGGUCACCCCUGAGCUUUAACGUUGACCUUGUGACAGUCAGAAACAACUGCUCAGUGGAUCUGAGAGUCCUUGAUAAGAGAUGUGAUUUUAAAAGGUCUGAGAGAUACGUUGGAGCUUGCCCAUUCAACUAUUUAUAUGUUAAUAAUAAAAUCUUGAAAUCAAUCCUAAAACGCACAGGGAGCCAGUGAAGAGAAGCCAGAAUAGAGGAGAUCACGUUUACGAGUACCGGUUAAAAGACGAGCUGCCGCGUUCUGAACAAGCUGCAGGCGAGACAAAGAGGCUAGACCAGAGGUCAGCAACCUUUACUAUCAAAAGAGACAUUUUAGGCAAAAAGAAAAAUCUGUCUGGAGCCGCUAAACAUUUGAGCAUUGUGAUGAAGGGAGCCACUGGAGAGGAGCUAAAGAGACGCAUGAGGCUCCAGAGCCGCAGGUUGCUGACCCCUGGGCUAGGCUAACACCAAUGUAAAGGGCAUCAUUAAUUGCUCAACAUCAGCAUUUUAGCAUACUGAUGUUAGCAUUUAGCUCAAAUCACAGACUCACAGUGCCGCUAGCAUGGCUGUAGACUCUGUCUUGUUUGUUGAUUGACUAAUCCAUUAAUAGACUUGUGCUAAAACAU